CGCAGCGAAAUGCGAUAAGUAAUGUGAAUUGCAGAAUUCAGUGAAUCAUCGAAUCUUUGAACGCAACUUGCGCUCUCUGGUAUUCCGGAGAGCAUGCCUGUUUGAGUGUCAUGAUCUCUCAACCAAUAGAGUUUUCUAUUGGCUUGGAUCUGGGUGUUGCGAGCGAUCGCUCACCUUAAAGGAGUUAGCAUAUAGCAUGUCGUUUGGCGUAAUAAGUUUCGCUUAGUAAAUCGACAAGGCUUUGCUUCUAAUCGUCUUUUGACUUUUUUGACUCUGGCCUCAAAUCAGGUAGGACUACCCGCUGAACUUAAGCAUAUC
RNAcentral lists this ribosomal RNA (318 nucleotides) under uncultured Tremellaceae. Its description in RNAcentral is "eukaryotic LSU rRNA". The stretch from base 1 to 111 matches the Rfam family "5.8S ribosomal RNA", at positions 44 to 154 of the family's 154-position model. Lineage: Eukaryota; Fungi; Basidiomycota; Tremellomycetes; Tremellales; Tremellaceae. The record is from RNAcentral.